AUUUGACGGGGAGCUUUUCGCUGAGAGUAGGUUUGACCUUGACCCUUUUACCUGAUAUGGAUAAUGCCAACGCAGGGAAUUUGCGA
Molecule: non-coding RNA, 86 nt
Filed under: human gut metagenome
Source: RNAcentral